CCCUUAGAUGUCCUGGGCCGCACGCGUGCUACACUGACGCAUACAGCGAGCACUUUCCAGUUCCGAGAGGCUACUGGUAAUCAUCAAUAUGCGUCGUGAUGGGGAUAGAUCUUUGGAAUUCUGGAUCUUGAACGAGGAAUGCCUAGUAAUCGCAGGUCAUUAGCCUGCGUUGACUAAGUCCCUGCCCUUUGUACACACCGCCCGUCGCUCCUACCGAUUUCGAGUGAUCCGGUGAAUCAUUCGGACCGCGGCCCCUAGGCAUGCGGAAAGUCUAGUAAACCAUAUCACUUAGAGGAAGGAGAAGUCGUAACA
RNAcentral lists this ribosomal RNA (312 nucleotides) under uncultured eukaryote. Its description in RNAcentral is "partial 18S ribosomal RNA". It matches the Rfam family "Eukaryotic small subunit ribosomal RNA", at positions 1470 to 1796 of the family's 1831-position model. The record is from RNAcentral.